RNAcentral lists this ribosomal RNA (518 nucleotides) under Melanelixia albertana. Its description in RNAcentral is "eukaryotic LSU rRNA". It matches the Rfam family "Eukaryotic large subunit ribosomal RNA", at positions 112 to 642 of the family's 3401-position model. The record is from RNAcentral. Lineage: Eukaryota; Fungi; Ascomycota; Lecanoromycetes; Lecanorales; Parmeliaceae.
AAUUUGAAAUCUGGCCCCUUCGGGGUCCGAGUUGUAAUUUGUAGAGAGUGCUUCGGGGGAGACCACGGUCUAAGUCCAUUGGAACAUGGCGUCACAGAGGGUGAGAAUCCCGUAUGUGACCGUGGCUCGAACCCAUGUGAAGCCUCUUCGACGAGUCGAGUUGUUUGGGAAUGCAGCUCAAAAUGGGUGGUAAAUUUCAUCUAAAGCUAAAUACUGGCUGGAGACCGAUAGCGCACAAGUAGAGUGAUCGAAAGAUGAAAAGCACUUUGGAAAGAGAGUUAAAAAGUACGUGAAAUUGUUGAAAGGGAAGCGCUGGCAACCAGACCUGCCCGUAGGCGAUCAGCCGCUGUUCUCAGCGGUGCACUCGCUCUGCGAUCAGGCCAGCAUCGGUUCCGGCGGUCGGAUAAAGGCCUUGGGAAUGUACCUUCUCUUCGGGGGAGUCUUAUAGCCCUCGGUGCAAUGCGGCCAGCCGGGACCGAGGACCGCGCUUCGGCUAGGAUGCUGGCGUAAUGGUUGUC